AAUGGGGGCAACCCUGACGAAGCAAUGCCGCGUGAAUGAAGAAGGCCUUCAGGUUGUAAAGUUCUUUCGUGGAGGACGAAAAGGUGGGUGGUAAUAUCACCUGCUGUUGACGUGAAUCCAAGAAGAAGCACCGGCUAACUCCGUGCCAGCAACCCCGGUAAUACGGGGGGUGCAAGCGUUAAUGGGAAUCACUGGGCGUAAAGGGUGCCUACGCGGUGCAUUAGGUCUGUCCUGAAAUCCCCGGGCUCAACCUGGGAAUGGCGGUGGAAACCGGUGUACUAGAGUAUGGGAGAGGGUGGUGGAAUUCCAGGUGUAGCGGUGAAAUGCGUAGAGAUCUGGAGGAAC
This 345-nucleotide ribosomal RNA is filed under the name uncultured bacterium. RNAcentral describes it as "bacterial SSU rRNA". It matches the Rfam family "Bacterial small subunit ribosomal RNA", at positions 370 to 707 of the family's 1533-position model. The record is from RNAcentral.